AUGGCCCACGUUGUCCUCAACUUCAACGCGUUCCUAGAGAAAACCAAGCUGAAAGAUGAUGGCAGCAAUUAUACGGACUGGGUCCGGAACCUGAGGAUCAUCCUCAUAGCUGCCAAGAAAGAUUAUGUCCUAGAAGCACCGCUAGGUGAAGCACCAAUCCUAGAGAACCAAGACGUUAUGAACGCUUGGCAAUCACGUGUUGAUGAUUACUCCCUCGUUCAGUGUGGCAUGCUUUACAGCUUAGAACCGGGUCUCCAAAAGCGUUUUGAGAAACAUGGAGCAUAUGAGAUGUUCGAAGAGCUGAAAAUGGUUUUCCAAGCUCAUGCCCGGGUCGAGAGAUAUGAAGUCUCCGACAAGUUCUUCAGCUGUAAAAUGGAGGAAAAUAGUUCUGUUAGUGAGCACAUACUCAGAAUGUCUGGGUUACACAACCGCUUGUCUCAGCUGGGAGUUAAUCUCCCGGAUGACGCGGUCAUUGACAGAAUCCUUCAGUCGCUUCCACCGAGCUACAAGAGCUUUGUGAUGAACUUCAAUAUGCAGGGGAUGGAAAAGACCAUUCCUGAGGUAUAUUCAAUGCUGAAAUCAGCGGAGGUAGAAAUCAAAAAGGAACAUCAAGUGUUGAUGGUGAAUAAAACCACUAAGUUCAAGAAAGGCAAGGGCAAGAAGAACUUCAAGAAGGACGGCAAGGGAGUUGCCGCGCCCGGUAAGCCAGUUACUGGGAAGAAGCCAAGGAAUGGACCCAAGCCUGAGACUGAGUGCUUUUAUUGCAAGGGAAGUGGUCACUGGAAGCGGAAC
This 792-nucleotide ribosomal RNA is filed under the name Triticum aestivum (bread wheat). RNAcentral's name for it is "partial small subunit ribosomal RNA". Lineage: Eukaryota; Viridiplantae; Streptophyta; Magnoliopsida; Poales; Poaceae. The record is from RNAcentral.